GGUCCGUUAGCUCAGUCCGGCAGAGCGUGGUGCUGAUAACGCCAAGGUCGUGAGUUCGACCCUCACACGAACCA
Molecule: transfer RNA, 74 nt
Filed under: Desmophyllum pertusum
Lineage: Eukaryota; Metazoa; Cnidaria; Anthozoa; Scleractinia; Caryophylliidae
Description: Lophelia pertusa tRNA
Rfam family: tRNA
About the family: Transfer RNA (tRNA) molecules are approximately 80 nucleotides in length. Their secondary structure includes four short double-helical elements and three loops (D, anti-codon, and T loops).
Source: Rfam by way of RNAcentral